GAAAGCAGAUUCUUGUAUCACCAUCUGAUAUCAUCCUUAGUAUGUUCAAGAACAUUUUAACGAAAAGCAGAGAUUUGAGAUGAAAAAUUCCGCUGAGAAAGUUGUUUCAUGUUCUGCGAGUGAUUCACGAACCUACUGCUGCUGUUUUAGCCUACGGUAU
Long non-coding RNA from Xenia sp. Carnegie-2017, 160 nucleotides. RefSeq lists it as uncharacterized. The record is from RefSeq and is a predicted model, not a curated record. The transcript is spliced from 3 exons. NCBI's taxonomy places the organism in Eukaryota, Metazoa, Cnidaria, Anthozoa, Malacalcyonacea, Xeniidae.